This is a long non-coding RNA of Rhinopithecus roxellana (golden snub-nosed monkey), 448 nucleotides long. RefSeq lists it as uncharacterized. NCBI's taxonomy places the organism in Eukaryota, Metazoa, Chordata, Mammalia, Primates, Cercopithecidae. The transcript is spliced from 3 exons. The record is from RefSeq and is a predicted model, not a curated record.
GUGCAGUGGCGUGAUCGCGGCUCACUGCAACCUCCGCCUCCUGGGUUGAAGCGAUUCUCCUGCGUCAGCCUACCGAAUGGAGACUCUCUAUUUCUAAGAGCACGGAGGUGAAGCCUGUGUUCCUGGUCUGAGGGGCUAGAGUGUGAAAACCACAAUAAAAGAGCCCCGCCUGGGGAAGAAGACUCUUGAAACUCUGGCCAUCAAGAGGCCAUUCGUUUUCCGGGCCGAGUCUGCCAUCGGGUUUCUAAAAAACGUGGUUGGGCCGUCACACUGAUAAGAUGGCAGGCCAGAUGAAAUAAAGUAUGAAAAGUGCUCUCUGGCAAAGGCUGCUACUCGAUGCAAGAAACCCCAGGACAAGCCACCCUCUGAAGGCACGUGCACAUGUGUUCUCUGAAACUCCUGAUAUGUGACAGCCAGUGUGCCACUGGAUUAAUGUGAAUAAAUGAAU